RNAcentral lists this transfer RNA (57 nucleotides) under Ictidomys tridecemlineatus (thirteen-lined ground squirrel). Its description in RNAcentral is "Spermophilus tridecemlineatus (thirteen-lined ground squirrel) tRNA". It matches the Rfam family "tRNA", at positions 8 to 63 of the family's 71-position model. Rfam says of the family: Transfer RNA (tRNA) molecules are approximately 80 nucleotides in length. Their secondary structure includes four short double-helical elements and three loops (D, anti-codon, and T loops). Further hydrogen bonds mediate the characteristic L-shaped molecular structure. tRNAs have two regions of fundamental functional importance: the anti-codon, which is responsible for specific mRNA codon recognition, and the 3' end, to which the tRNAs corresponding amino acid is attached (by aminoacyl-tRNA synthetases). tRNAs cope with the degeneracy of the genetic code in two manners: having more than one tRNA (with a specific anti-codon) for a particular amino acid; and 'wobble' base-pairing, i.e. permitting non-standard base-pairing at the 3rd anti-codon position. The record is from Rfam by way of RNAcentral. Lineage: Eukaryota; Metazoa; Chordata; Mammalia; Rodentia; Sciuridae.
UGGCUCAGUGGUAGAGUGCUCGCCUUGCAUGUGUGAGGCACUGGGUUCAAUUCUCAG